RNAcentral lists this ribosomal RNA (243 nucleotides) under uncultured bacterium. RNAcentral describes it as "partial 16S ribosomal RNA". It matches the Rfam family "Bacterial small subunit ribosomal RNA", at positions 91 to 334 of the family's 1533-position model. The record is from RNAcentral.
CUUAGUGGCGGACGGGUGAGUAACGCGUGGGUAACCUGCCUUGUACAGGGGGAUAACAGUCAGAAAUGACUGCUAAUACCGCAUAAGCGCACAGGACCGCAUGGUCCGGUGUGAAAAACUCCGGUGGUAUAAGAUGGACCCGCGUUGGAUUAGCUAGUUGGUGAGGUAACGGCCCACCAAGGCGACGAUCCAUAGCCGACCUGAGAGGGUGACCGGCCACAUUGGGACUGAGACACGGCCCAA